CGCGUAGGCGGUUUUUUAAGUCAGAUGUGUAAUCCCCGAGCUUAACUUGGGAACUGCAUCUGAGACUGGAAGGCUAGAGUACUGGAGAGGGUGGUGGAAUUCCUCGUGUAGCGGUGAAAUGCGUAGAGAUGAGGAGGAACACCAGUGGCGAAGGCGGCCACCUGGACAGUAACUGACGCUGAGGCGCGAAAGUGUGGGUAGCAAACAGGAUUAGAUACCCUGGUAGUCCACGCUGUAAACGAUGAACACUUGGUGUGGAGGGAGUUGACCCCUUCCGUGCCGGAGCUAACGCGUUAAGUGUUCCGCCUGGGGAGUACGGUCGCAAGGCUAGAA
RNAcentral lists this ribosomal RNA (333 nucleotides) under uncultured bacterium. Its description in RNAcentral is "bacterial SSU rRNA". It matches the Rfam family "Bacterial small subunit ribosomal RNA", at positions 568 to 899 of the family's 1533-position model. The record is from RNAcentral.